GCCGGGUGCAGUGGCACGUGCCUGUAGUCCCAGCUACUCAGGAGGCUGAGGUGGGAGGAUCACUUGAGCCCAGGAGUUCUGGGCUGUAGUGCGCUAUGCUGAUCGGGUGUCCGCACUAAGUUCAGCAUCAAUAUGGUGAUGUCCCUGGAGCAGGGGACCACCAGGUUGCCUAAGGAGGGGUGAACUGGCCCAGGUUGGAAAUGGAGCAGGUCAAAACUGUGCUGAUCAGUGGUGGGAUUGCGCCUGUGAAUAGCCACUGCACUCCAGCCUGGGCAACAUAGCGAGACCCUGUCUCU
This 296-nucleotide signal recognition particle RNA is filed under the name Saimiri boliviensis boliviensis (Bolivian squirrel monkey). RNAcentral describes it as "Metazoan signal recognition particle RNA (ENSSBOG00000004619.1)". It matches the Rfam family "Metazoan signal recognition particle RNA". From Rfam's summary of the family: The signal recognition particle (SRP) is a universally conserved ribonucleoprotein. The record is from RNAcentral. Lineage: Eukaryota; Metazoa; Chordata; Mammalia; Primates; Cebidae.